UGUAAGCGUAUACCAAAGUUGUUGCAGUUAAAACGCUCGUAGUCGGAAUUUGGCAGUUCCGGAAGUGUGCACGUCGUGUGCGCACUUUGCGGGGACUGCUUUCGUGGUCUUGCGUAGGAUGAGGCACUUUCAUUAGUGAACGUCCUCACGCAACCACUCUUUACUGUGAGAAAAUCAGAGUGCUCAAAGCAGGCAUUUGCCGUGAAUGUAUUAGCAUGGAAUAAUAGAAUAGGACUCGGUUCUAUUUUGUUGGUUUGUUGGGACUGAGUAAUGAUUAAGAGGGACAGUUGGGGGCAUUUGUAUUCCGGCGCUAGAGGUGAAAUUCUUAGAUUGCCGGAAGACAAACUGCUGCGAAAGCGUCUGCCAAGGAUGUUUUCAUUGA
This 382-nucleotide ribosomal RNA is filed under the name uncultured eukaryote. RNAcentral's name for it is "partial 18S ribosomal RNA". It matches the Rfam family "Eukaryotic small subunit ribosomal RNA", at positions 592 to 976 of the family's 1831-position model. The record is from RNAcentral.